UACAGAGACCUCAAGCGUUAUCCGGAAUUAUUGGGCGUAAAGAGCUCGUAGGCGGUUUGUUGCGUCGGCUGUGAAAUCCCGAGGCUCAACCUCGGGUCUGCAGUCGAUACGAGCAAACUAGAGUGUUGCAGGGGAGACUGGAAUUCCUGGUGUAGCGGUGAAAUGCGCAGAUAUCAGGAGGAACACCGGUGGCGAAGGCGGGUCUCUGGGCAACAACUGACGCUGAGGAGCGAAAGCGUGGGGAGCGAACAGG
This 253-nucleotide ribosomal RNA is filed under the name uncultured bacterium. RNAcentral's name for it is "partial 16S ribosomal RNA". It matches the Rfam family "Bacterial small subunit ribosomal RNA", at positions 524 to 776 of the family's 1533-position model. The record is from RNAcentral.